UCUCCAGAAUGAUGAGGGUCUUUUGUAUGCUGAUGAGAUGACUGAUGGCUGGGGGUCUCUAGAUGAGGUUCUUGCUAUGUUGCCUAGGCUGGUCUUGAACUUCUGGCCUCAAGAAAUCCUCCUCCUGAUCCUCCUGCCUCAGCCUUCCAAAGUGUUGGGAUUACAGCACUGGCUAGAACUUCCAUCCCUGUGGUGAAUAAGAGUGAUGAAAGUGGACACCAUCGUAUUAUUGAAUUGAAGGGAUGUAGAUGGAUAACAUGACCACAGGAGUUAGGCCCCGAAGCAGAUGAUUGCCUCUGGCACCCGCCGUAUGCAAUUCGAGGUGAAAUUUCCAAGAGCCAAAUGAAAUAAUUGCAACAGGAUCAAAGGUCCAAAAGUUGGGAAGUGUGGAGAGCCAGAGAACACAGGAAGAUUUUCUGUGAUGUUAGAAACAAAAUGGUGUAAUACAAGCUGGGAGCUCAUAAAGAAGACAUAAACUACUGUGCCUCCUCCCCAAAGCAGAAGAUGUGUUCUUUCAUGGUGGCAAAACUCUUUCGACUUUGAUCUAAAGUACUGACAAUAACAUUGUACAGGAGAAGUCCACAGCAAUGGAGACCUCCUUCUAACUGGACUUCUUAACAUGAAUCAAACACCCUGUAACACGCUGGCUGCCUUUGUCCUGCCAGAAACUCCUCAAGGCUUACCCUACUGCAGACCACACCAGGCUACAGACCCUGAUCAGGAGAACUCCAUCCCACCAGG
Molecule: long non-coding RNA, 741 nt
Organism: Gorilla gorilla gorilla (western lowland gorilla)
Lineage: Eukaryota; Metazoa; Chordata; Mammalia; Primates; Hominidae
Exons: 8
Source: RefSeq, a predicted model, not a curated record